Non-coding RNA from Firmicutes bacterium CAG:129_59_24, 170 nucleotides. NCBI's taxonomy places the organism in Bacteria, Bacillati, Bacillota. The record is from Rfam.
CGGGAAGAUAGAGGCGCGGCUGACAAAAGUAGCGCGUUCGCACCGGCACAGGAAGCCGGAGCGCGCGAAAGGGGAUGCCGCCGAAGUGGAAACGGUUCCUGUGCCGUUUGCCGCUGGUUCGUCGGAGAACAUCCGCCGGACUGUCACGUAUGUGGAGCGCUAUCGAGGUC